GGGACACGUGGUAUCCUGUCUGAAUAUGGGGGGACCAUCCUCCAAGGCUAAAUACUCCUGACUGACCGAUAGUGAACCAGUACCGUGAGGGAAAGGCGAAAAGAACCCCGGCGAGGGGAGUGAAAAAGAACCUGAAACCGUGUACGUACAAGCAGUGGGAGCCUCUUAAUGGGGUGACUGCGUACCUUUUGUAUAAUGGGUCAGCGACUUAUAUUCUGUAGCAAGGUUAACCGAAUAGGGGAGCCGAAGGGAAACCGAGUCUUAACUGGGCGUUAAGUUGCAGGGUAUAGACCCGAAACCCGGUGAUCUAGCCAUGGGCAGGUUGAAGGUUGGGUAACACUAACUGGAGGACCGAACCGACUAAUGUUGAAAAAUUAGCGGAUGACUUGUGGCUGGGGGUGAAAGGCCAAUCAAACCGGGAGAUAGCUGGUUCUCCCCGAAAGCUAUUUAGGUAGCGCCUCGUGAAUUCAUCUCCGGGGGUAGAGCACUGUUUCGGCAAGGGGGUCAUCCCGACUUACCAACCCGAUGCAAACUGCGAAUACCGGAGAAUGUUAUCACGGGAGACACACGGCGGGUGCUAACGUCCGUCGUGAAGAGGGAAACAACCCAGACCGCCAGCUAAGGUCCCAAAGUCAUGGUUAAGUGGGAAACGAUGUGGGAAGGCCCAGACAGCCAGGAUGUUGGCUUAGAAGCAGCCAUCAUUUAAAGAAAGCGUAAUAGCUCACUGGUCGAGUCGGCCUGCGCGGAAGAUGUAACGGGGCUAAACCAUGCACCGAAGCUGCGGCAGCGACACUAUGUGUUGUUGGGUAGGGGAGCGUUCUGUAAGCCUGUGAAGGUGGCCUGUGAGGGUUGCUGGAGGUAUCAGAAGUGCGAAUGCUGACAUAAGUAACGAUAAAGCGGGUGAAAAGCCCGCUCGCCGGAAGACCAAGGGUUCCUGUCCAACGUUAAUCGGGGCAGGGUGAGUCGACCCCUAAGGCGAGGCCGAAAGGCGUAGUCGAUGGGAAACAGGUUAAUAUUCCUGUACUUGGUGUUACUGCGAAGGGGGGACGGAGAAGGCUAUGUUGGCCGGGCGACGGUUGUCCCGGUUUAAGCGUGUAGGCUGGUUUUCCAGGCAAAUCCGGAAAACCAAGGCUGAGGCGUGAUGACGAGGCACUACGGUGCUGAAGUGACAAAUGCCCUGCUUCCAGGAAAAGCCUCUAAGCAUCAGGUAACAUCAAAUCGUACCCCAAACCGACACAGGUGGUCAGGUAGAGAAUACCAAGGCGCUUGAGAGAACUCGGGUGAAGGAACUAGGCAAAAUGGUGCCGUAACUUCGGGAGAAGGCACGCUGAUAUGUAGGUGAAGCGACUUGCUCGUGGAGCUGAAAUCAGUCGAAGAUACCAGCUGGCUGCAACUGUUUAUUAAAAACACAGCACUGUGCAAACACGAAAGUGGACGUAUACGGUGUGACGCCUGCCCGGUGCCGGAAGGUUAAUUGAUGGGGUUAGCGGUAACGCGAAGCUCUUGAUCGAAGCCCCGGUAAACGGCGGCCGUAACUAUAACGGUCCUAAGGUAGCGAAAUUCCUUGUCGGGUAAGUUCCGACCUGCACGAAUGGCGUAAUGAUGGCCAGGCUGUCUCCACCCGAGACUCAGUGAAAUUGAACUCGCUGUGAAGAUGCAGUGUACCCGCGGCAAGACGGAAAGACCCCGUGAACCUUUACUAUAGCUUGACACUGAACAUUGAGCCUUGAUGUGUAGGAUAGGUGGGAGGCUUUGAAGUGUGGACGCCAGUCUGCAUGGAGCCGACCUUGAAAUACCACCCUUUAAUGUUUGAUGUUCUAACGUUGGCCCCUAAUCGGGGUUGCGGACAGUGUCUGGUGGGUAGUUUGACUGGGGCGGUCUCCUCCUAAAGAGUAACGGAGGAGCACGAAGGUUGGCUAAUCCUGGUCGGACAUCAGGAGGUUAGUGCAAUGGCAUAAGCCAGCUUGACUGCGAGCGUGACGGCGCGAGCAGGUGCGAAAGCAGGUCAUAGUGAUCCGGUGGUUCUGAAUGGAAGGGCCAUCGCUCAACGGAUAAAAGGUACUCCGGGGAUAACAGGCUGAUACCGCCCAAGAGUUCAUAUCGACGGCGGUGUUUGGCACCUCGAUGUCGGCUCAUCACAUCCUGGGGCUGAAGUAGGUCCCAAGGGUAUGGCUGUUCGCCAUUUAAAGUGGUACGCGAGCUGGGUUUAGAACGUCGUGAGACAGUUCGGUCCCUAUCUGCCGUGGGCGCUGGAGAACUGAGGGGGGCUGCUCCUAGU
RNAcentral lists this ribosomal RNA (2278 nucleotides) under Escherichia coli. RNAcentral's name for it is "partial 23S ribosomal RNA". It matches the Rfam family "Bacterial large subunit ribosomal RNA", at positions 419 to 2682 of the family's 2925-position model. Lineage: Bacteria; Pseudomonadati; Pseudomonadota; Gammaproteobacteria; Enterobacterales; Enterobacteriaceae. The record is from RNAcentral.